Molecule: long non-coding RNA, 1002 nt
Filed under: Mytilus galloprovincialis (Mediterranean mussel)
Lineage: Eukaryota; Metazoa; Mollusca; Bivalvia; Mytilida; Mytilidae
Source: RNAcentral
GAUCACGUCAAAUACGUCUUUCCCAGAAAAUCCCACGUUUAGAAGACUGAACGAGUCUUAGCUAAACUUGUAAUAUACGUCAAUAAGACGGCGGCAACACACAUAAAAACAUAUAAUCUAAGAGUUACCGUUCAACGUACGAUUUAAGAAGUAGAUAGAUACCUUUUCAAUAUGUCAACAUCUAAAUCAACAUGAGUAUAGGAAGGUAAUGAAUUGAUUUUAACAAUACUACCAUGGGCCAUCGACAUCAAGGUCACAAAAAUGAAAACAAAAAUACGUUACGGUUUGAGAAAAGACAACCACUCACGAGAUUCCUGAUUUGAACCAAACACGUGAAUAUGUGGAGUGUUAUUUCUAUGUAUCAACUACCUCUUUUCUUUAAAUAUGCUAUCAAUAUAAGAAUAUAGAAUACUAAAAUGCAAUAUCAUAUUUCCGUUCGAGCAUAUAAGAUAUCACACUUUGUAUCAAUAAGAUGGUUUGUAUGAGUGUUGAUCUAAUCAGAUCACAUGACACAAACAGUCGUUAAGAACGAACCAUCCUCAAUUAAGAACUAACUUACUGUUGACAAUGUGGUAAGCUUAUUAAUCAGGUUGAAUUAACCAUCCCUUAAAAUAGUAUAUAAAUACAACAGAUAAUGUAUGAUACAAGCCAUUACGUCAGACGUUCUAAAGCCUUAACAAGUAUAUUAGACAAAAUUCAAGUACAAAAAUCGGAUCCUGAUAUCUGAUAAACUAGUAUGGCGUUCAUUAUCACUGAACUAGUAUAUAUUUAUUGAGGAGUGUUUGGAUGGGGUUAAAUGAUUAAAGAAUAAUGCCCUUAAAAUGAAGAUUAGAGAAUAACGGGCAAAAAAAAUGAAGAUUAGAGAAAAAAGGGGUUAAUUUUUUGAAGAUUAGAGAUUAAAAGGGUUAAUUUUUUAAAGAUUAGAAAAAAGGGUGAAUAUUAAAUGUUUACAGAAUAACAGACCCCCAUCCAGACCCUCAUUUAGGGGUCAGCUGAAGGACG